CUCUGGUUUGAGAGAAUAAUCAGGGCGCAAAGGAG
This 35-nucleotide non-coding RNA is filed under the name Sporolactobacillus vineae DSM 21990 = SL153. Lineage: Bacteria; Bacillati; Bacillota; Bacilli; Caryophanales; Sporolactobacillaceae. The record is from RNAcentral.